GAUGAAGAACGUAGCGAAAUGCGAUACGUAAUGUGAAUUGCAGAAUUCAGUGAAUCAUCGAAUCUUUGAACGCACAUUGCGCCCCCUGGCAUUCCGGGGGGCAUGCCUGUCCGAGCGUCAUUUCUGCCCUCCAGCCCGGCUGGGUGUUGGGCGCUGUCCCCCCGGGGACACGCCCCAAAGGCAGUGGCGGCGCCGCGUCGGGUCCUCGAGCGUAUGGGGCUUUGUCACCCGCUCGGGACGGACUCGUCGGCGCUGGUCUUCCUCCAGGCGACCCUUCGGGGCUCGUCUUCCUUCGGUUGACCUCGGAUCAGGUAGGGUUACCCGCUGAACUUAAGCAUAUCAAUAAGCGGAGGA
This 354-nucleotide unclassified non-coding RNA is filed under the name soil metagenome. RNAcentral's name for it is "partial contains 5.8S ribosomal RNA, internal transcribed spacer 2, and large subunit ribosomal RNA". The stretch from base 1 to 120 matches the Rfam family "5.8S ribosomal RNA", at positions 35 to 154 of the family's 154-position model. The record is from RNAcentral.